RNAcentral lists this ribosomal RNA (253 nucleotides) under uncultured bacterium. RNAcentral's name for it is "partial 16S ribosomal RNA". It matches the Rfam family "Bacterial small subunit ribosomal RNA", at positions 524 to 776 of the family's 1533-position model. The record is from RNAcentral.
UACGUAGGGUGCGAGCGUUAAUCGGAAUUACUGGGCGUAAAGCGUGCGCAGGCGGUUUUGUAAGCCAGAUGUGAAAUCCCCGGGCUUAACCUGGGAAUGGCAUUUGGGACUGCAAGGCUUGAGUGCGGCUGAGGAGACUGGGAUUCCUGGUGUAGCAGUGAAAUGCGUAGAUAUCAGGAGGAACACCGAUGGCGAAGGCAGGUCUCUGGGCUGACACUGACGCUCAUGCACGAAAGCGUGGGGAGCAAACAGG